RNAcentral lists this ribosomal RNA (402 nucleotides) under Verrucomicrobiota bacterium. RNAcentral describes it as "Verrucomicrobia bacterium partial 16S ribosomal RNA". It matches the Rfam family "Bacterial small subunit ribosomal RNA", at positions 355 to 776 of the family's 1533-position model. The record is from RNAcentral. Lineage: Bacteria; Pseudomonadati; Verrucomicrobiota.
UGGGGAAUUUUGCACAAUGGGGGAAACCCUGAUGCAGCGACGCCGCGUGAUUUAGAAGGCCUUCGGGUUGUAAAAAUCUUUUGUAUGGGAAGAAAAUGACAGUACCAUACGAAUAAGGACCGGCUAAUUACGUGCCAGCAGCCGCGGUAAUACGUAAGGUCCGAGCGUUGUCCGGAAUCAUUGGGCGUAAAGGGUACGUAGGCGGAUAAGCAAGUUAGAAGUGAAAUCCUAUAGCUCAACUAUAGUAAGCUUUUAAAACUGCUCAUCUUGGGGUAUGGAAGGGAAAGUGGAAUUCCUAGUGUAGCGGUGAAAUGCGCAGAUAUUAGGAGGAAUACCGGUGGCGAAGGCGACUUUCUGGCCAUAAACUGACGCUGAGGUACGAAAGCGUGGGUAGCAAACAGG